This 253-nucleotide ribosomal RNA is filed under the name uncultured bacterium. RNAcentral describes it as "partial 16S ribosomal RNA". It matches the Rfam family "Bacterial small subunit ribosomal RNA", at positions 524 to 776 of the family's 1533-position model. The record is from RNAcentral.
GACGUAGGGCGCGAGCGUUGUCCGGAUUUAUUGGGCGUAAAGAGCUCGUAGGCGGCUUGUCGCGUCGAAUGUGAAAACUCGGGGCUCAACUCCGAGCUUGCAUUCGAUACGGGCAGGCUAGAGUUCGGUAGGGGAGAUCGGAAUUCCUGGUGUAGCGGUGAAAUGCGCAGAUAUCAGGAGGAACACCGGUGGCGAAGGCGGAUCUCUGGGCCGAUACUGACGCUGAGGAGCGAAAGCGUGGGGAGCGAACAGG